Molecule: ribosomal RNA, 497 nt
Filed under: uncultured bacterium
Lineage: Bacteria
Description: partial 16S ribosomal RNA
Rfam family: Bacterial small subunit ribosomal RNA
Source: RNAcentral
GAUGAACGCUGGCGGCGUGCCUAGUACAUGCAAGUCGAGCGAACAGACGAGGAGCUUGCUCCUCUGACGUUAGCGGCGGACGGGUGAGUAACACGUGGAUAACCUACCUAUAAGACUGGGAUAACUUCAGGAAACCGGAGCUAAUACCGGAUAAUAUAUUGAACCGCAUGGUUCAAUAGUGAAAGACGGUUUUGCUGUCACUUAUAGAUGGAUCCGCGCCGCAUUAGCUAGUUGGUAAGGUAACGGCUUACCAAGGCGACGAUGCGUAGCCGACCUGAGAGGGUGAUCGGCCACACUGGAACUGAGACACGGUCCAGACUCCUACGGGAGGCAGCAGUAGGGAAUCUUCCGCAAUGGGCGAAAGCCUGACGGAGCAACGCCGCGUGAGUGAUGAAGGUCUUCGGAUCGUAAAACUCUGUUAUUAGGGAAGAACAAAUGUGUAAGUAACUAUGCACGUCUUGACGGUACCUAAUCAGAAAGCCACGGCUAACUACGUG